UAAUCGCUGCAUAAUAGCAGAGGAAAGUCCGGGCUCCUCAGGACAAUGGUGCUGGUUAACGGCCAGGAGCAGCAAUGCUACAGAAAGUGCAACAGAGAGCAGACCGCCCGAAAGGGUAAGGGUGAAAGGGCAGUGUAAGAGACUACCGCCUGGACAGUGAUGGACAGGGCAUGGCAAACCUCACCAGGAGCAAGGCCAAGUAUGCAGUCGGCUGGUCCGGCCAUGGCUGCGGGUAGGCUGCUUGAGCUAUGGAGCAAUCCAUAGCCUAGAUAGAUGAUUACCUAAACAGAACCCGGCUUAUCUGGGGCCU
RNAcentral lists this RNase P RNA (310 nucleotides) under chicken gut metagenome. Its description in RNAcentral is "Bacterial RNase P class A". It matches the Rfam family "Bacterial RNase P class A". From Rfam's summary of the family: Ribonuclease P (RNase P) is a ubiquitous endoribonuclease, found in archaea, bacteria and eukarya as well as chloroplasts and mitochondria. Its best characterised activity is the generation of mature 5'-ends of tRNAs by cleaving the 5'-leader elements of precursor-tRNAs. Cellular RNase Ps are ribonucleoproteins. The record is from RNAcentral.